CUAGUUGUGGCUGAGUGGUUAAGGCAAUAGAUUAGAAAUUCAUUGGGUUCUCCCUAUGCAGGUUUGAAUCCUGCUGACUAUG
RNAcentral lists this transfer RNA (82 nucleotides) under Chelonia mydas (Green sea turtle). It matches the Rfam family "tRNA". From Rfam's summary of the family: Transfer RNA (tRNA) molecules are approximately 80 nucleotides in length. Their secondary structure includes four short double-helical elements and three loops (D, anti-codon, and T loops). The record is from Rfam by way of RNAcentral. Lineage: Eukaryota; Metazoa; Chordata; Testudines; Cheloniidae.